GUAGCUAUGUGUGGACGGGAUAAGUGCUGAAAGCAUCUAAGCAUGAAGCCCCCCUCAAGAUGAGAUUUCCCAUAGCGCAAGCUAGUAAGAUCCCUGAAAGAUGAUCAGGUUGAUAGGUCAGAGGUGGAAGCACGGCGACGUGUGUAGCUGACUGAUACUAAUCGAUCGAGGACUUAACCAAAA
This 183-nucleotide ribosomal RNA is filed under the name Priestia veravalensis. Its description in RNAcentral is "Bacillus sp. SGD-V-76 partial 23S ribosomal RNA". It matches the Rfam family "Bacterial large subunit ribosomal RNA", at positions 2745 to 2925 of the family's 2925-position model. Lineage: Bacteria; Bacillati; Bacillota; Bacilli; Caryophanales; Bacillaceae. The record is from RNAcentral.